GGCGAGUUAGCCAAGUGGUAAGGCAGAGGUCUGCAAAACCUCCAGUCGCGGCGGUGGAGUCGGCCGAACCCUGCGCCG
This 78-nucleotide transfer RNA is filed under the name Chloroflexota bacterium. RNAcentral describes it as "Chloroflexi bacterium tRNA-Cys". It matches the Rfam family "tRNA", at positions 1 to 62 of the family's 71-position model. Rfam says of the family: Transfer RNA (tRNA) molecules are approximately 80 nucleotides in length. Their secondary structure includes four short double-helical elements and three loops (D, anti-codon, and T loops). The record is from RNAcentral. Lineage: Bacteria; Bacillati; Chloroflexota. RNAcentral also lists the same sequence under 1 other name.